GUGGGGAAUUUUGGACAAUGGGCGCAAGCCUGAUCCAGCAAUGCCGCGUGCAGGAAGAAGGCCUUCGGGUUGUAAACUGCUUUUGUACGGAACGAAACGGUCCGGGUUAAUACCCUGGGCUAAUGACGGUACCGUAAGAAUAAGCACCGGCUAACUACGUGCCAGCAGCCGCGGUAAUACGUAGGGUGCAAGCGUUAAUCGGAAUUACUGGGCGUAAAGCGUGCGCAGGCGGUUUUGUAAGACAGGCGUGAAAUCCCCGGGCUCAACCUGGGAAUUGCGCUUGUGACUGCAAGGCUGGAGUGCGGCAGAGGGGGAUGGAAUUCCGCGUGUAGCAGUGAAAUGCGUAGAUAUGCGGAGGAACACCGAUGGCGAAGGCAAUCCCAUGGGCCUGCACUGACGCUCAUGCACGAAAGCGUGGGGAGCAAACAGGAUUAGAAACCCCUGUAGUCC
Molecule: ribosomal RNA, 450 nt
Filed under: uncultured bacterium
Lineage: Bacteria
Description: partial 16S ribosomal RNA
Rfam family: Bacterial small subunit ribosomal RNA
Source: RNAcentral